GGGGGGGCGGCGCAGCCUACCCCGCUGGCACCGCCUCCUCCGCCGCUCAUUGGCCGUCCGCGCGGCCCCGCCGCGCGCCAUUGGCCAGUUCGAACCAUCACGGCAGGGAGGCCCCGCCCCUCUCGUCGCCGCGGGGAGGGGGGCGAGGACGCCCCACACGCUCAAGCUGCUGUGAGCCGCGCGGCGGGGCCGCGGAGCUGCCGGCAGAUUCGACACCGGCUCCGCCGCUCCGCCUCCCCGCGUUUAUCCCCCUCCUCCUCCCCGCUGCCCCGUCUCUCCUCCACCGCAGCAACUGUGGAUUUCAUUAGCGGCGUUGAUUGCAUUAGCACCACCACGUUUGCCCGCAUCAGUCAGCAGAUCCCAAAAACACGCACAACUUCCGUAAAAUACAAGAAAGUCCAUGGAAGGUUUGGGUUUCAUUACACUUUUUAUCCCCUGAAAACCCAUAAUUACUCAUUAUGAUUAAUAAGAGCUGCUUUUUGCCACGGCAAAAUAAAACAUACUCCACUGCCCGCGAAAAUGGCAGCUUCAGGAACAGCAAGUUGCUUUUGCUUUACACUUCAGUGUUUACAGAGACUUAUUGCUCAGUUUCAUUACAAUUAGUACUUAAAAACAUUUUAUUAGAUCUGGGGUUAUCUGAGAAGACUGGUGUGACACUAGAAAUAUGGUCAGCUUUUACCUAAUCAUAGAAGUAAUUUGAGUUCAUUUAACGCCCUUCCCGAACUUAAUUUGCCCCCUUUGGAAUUACUGCCAUUUUUCUGAUCAAUUCAGAUGUGCCCUGUCCUUCGUGCAAGUCAAUACUCAUGAAAAUCAAGCUGAUCAGGAAAGAAAGAGAGGCAUUCAGAGCAACUGCCUGCCUGUGUAGCCAGCCUCAAAAUGCACUGUGUGAAUUAAUGAGCCAUAAGGAGGAAGGCGUAUUAACAGACAGCCACAUCAAGGAAUUCUUUUCUUUCUCCUCUUAGCUGGAUAUAUUGGAUUAAAAGCCACUAUGAUUGACUUGCAGAUGCAAAAGUUUUGCAUACUUAGGUUCCACUUGUAGGUCAGUAAGACUACAAUAAUCAGAACAGCAAGAUGUUUCAGUGAAAAGGAUCUAAUUUGUUUUGCUGGCAGCACAGAGCAGUUCACAUUGUAUGCUUUAUACAUCUCCAAUUAUUGACAGCAGUAUUGUUUUUGUGUUGGACUCCUGAACCCAUUUCUUAGGGCUACUGAGACAGGAAAACAACAACUACUACACAAGCAAUGUCAAACUUCUUUUAUUUCAAACUUCUGCAACAGUGCAUUAGUUACUGAUUGAUACGGAGAAAACCUCCCAGCAGUUUCUUCUCUUUAUAUAAACACGAUAAUACUGCAACUUUACAGUAAUCAGAGCCCUGUCUCUAAAAUACUUGUGCAUAACUGCAAACUGUUUUUAAAAAAAAGCUCAAUUCCGAUAUUGCUGACUUAUUUCUGAACUGUAGUCUCCCCUCAUGAUUUCAAAUUCUAUUACAGUAAAAAUUCCUGGCUCUGUGGACCCACAGAUUGCUGUCAUCAACAUAUUAAAUAUAAAGCUAAACUUGUCGUGUUUUUGUGUCCCAUGAUUGCAAAUUAGAGUUAUAGAAAUGAGAAACAACACGUGGAAGGGAAUGAAAUAGGUACAGUUGGUCCAGAGUCGCACAAAGAGUACAAAGUCAAAGAAGGCACUGCAGAAAGGAAAAGUCAAGCGUCAUUUUCAAAACAGGUUGUUCCUAACAGACUAUAAAGGCUAUGCUUUUCUGCAUCAUAUUGAAAGAUCAAGUUUUUAUCAGUCUGUAUGAACCAAACUUAACUUUGUUUAAAAUAUCCCUCAAAAAAUUAGCUUCUCUCAAGUUGACUUUUCCUUUUCGGUUGUUUUAAAAAUGUGUUAUUUCAACCAGCACAAGCUGGGCAGAAUCAAUUUCACGGGUAACCAUUCUUCACAAAUUAACGCAGCAAAAAAA
Oxyura jamaicensis (ruddy duck) is the source of this 1955-nucleotide long non-coding RNA. RefSeq lists it as uncharacterized. The record is from RefSeq and is a predicted model, not a curated record. Lineage: Eukaryota; Metazoa; Chordata; Aves; Anseriformes; Anatidae. The transcript has 2 exons.